RNAcentral lists this ribosomal RNA (400 nucleotides) under uncultured Pseudomonas sp. RNAcentral's name for it is "bacterial SSU rRNA". It matches the Rfam family "Bacterial small subunit ribosomal RNA", at positions 983 to 1382 of the family's 1533-position model. Lineage: Bacteria; Pseudomonadati; Pseudomonadota; Gammaproteobacteria; Pseudomonadales; Pseudomonadaceae. The record is from RNAcentral.
GACAUGCAGAGAACUUUCCAGAGAUGGAUUGGUGCCUUCGGGAACUCUGACACAGGUGCUGCAUGGCUGUCGUCAGCUCGUGUCGUGAGAUGUUGGGUUAAGUCCCGUAACGAGCGCAACCCUUGUCCUUAGUUACCAGCACGUUAUGGUGGGCACUCUAAGGAGACUGCCGGUGACAAACCGGAGGAAGGUGGGGAUGACGUCAAGCCAUCAUGGCCCUUACGGCCUGGGCUACACACGUGCUACAAUGGUCGGUACAAAGGGUUGCCAAGCCGCGAGGUGGAGCUAAUCCCAUAAAACCGAUCGUAGUCCGGAUCGCAGUCUGCAACUCGACUGCGUGAAGUCGGAAUCGCUAGUAAUCGUGAAUCAGAAUGUCACGGUGAAUACGUUCCCGGGCCUU